UACGGAGGGUGCGAGCGUUGUUCGGAAUCACUGGGCGUAAAGGGCGUGUAGGCGGUCCGCUAAGUCUGAUGUGAAAGCCCGGGGCUCACCCCCGGAAGUGCAUUGGAAACUGGGGAACUUGAGUGCAGGAGAGAAGAGUGGAAUUCCACGUGUAGCGGUGAAAUGCGUAGAGAUGUGGAGGAACACCAGUGGCGAAGGCGACUCUUUGGCCUGUAACUGACGCUGAGGCGCGAAAGCGUGGGGAGCAAACAGGA
This 254-nucleotide ribosomal RNA is filed under the name uncultured bacterium. RNAcentral's name for it is "partial 16S ribosomal RNA". It matches the Rfam family "Bacterial small subunit ribosomal RNA", at positions 524 to 777 of the family's 1533-position model. The record is from RNAcentral.